This 253-nucleotide ribosomal RNA is filed under the name uncultured bacterium. Its description in RNAcentral is "partial 16S ribosomal RNA". It matches the Rfam family "Bacterial small subunit ribosomal RNA", at positions 524 to 776 of the family's 1533-position model. The record is from RNAcentral.
UACGGAGGGGGCUAGCGUUGUUCGGAAUUACUGGGCGUAAAGCGCACGUAGGCGGUUAUUCAAGUCAGAGGUGAAAGCCUGGAGCUCAACUCCAGAACUGCCUUUGAAACUAGAUAACUAGAAUCAUGGAGAGGUCAGUGGAAUUCCGAGUGUAGAGGUGAAAUUCGUAGAUAUUCGGAAGAACACCAGUGGCGAAGGCGGCUGACUGGACAUGUAUUGACGCUGAGGUGCGAAAGCGUGGGGAGCAAACAGG